This 211-nucleotide long non-coding RNA is filed under the name Athene cunicularia (burrowing owl). RNAcentral describes it as "lncRNA (ENSACUG00000011433.1)". The record is from RNAcentral. Lineage: Eukaryota; Metazoa; Chordata; Aves; Strigiformes; Strigidae.
AAAGAUCUCAGUUCCUCAAGCCUACCUAAUGCACAGCACUCAGCACCCUACUCCUAAUGGAACAAACACUGCUCUCAAUUCUGCCUUUCAUUCUGGAAGUUAUUAAAUGUCCAUCACAGACCAGAAUUCACUGAAAUUGCACAAAGCCGCACAAAUCCAAACAACAUCUUAAUGGAGUGAAAAUUAUAUUGUACUUCCCAAGAAUCCUAAC